Molecule: ribosomal RNA, 519 nt
Filed under: Aureobasidium proteae
Lineage: Eukaryota; Fungi; Ascomycota; Dothideomycetes; Dothideales; Saccotheciaceae
Description: eukaryotic LSU rRNA
Rfam family: Eukaryotic large subunit ribosomal RNA
Source: RNAcentral
CCCUAGUAACGGCGAGUGAAGCGGCAACAGCUCAAAUUUGAAAGCUAGCCUUCGGGUUCGCAUUGUAAUUUGUAGAGGAUGAUUUGGGGAAGCCGCCUGUCUAAGUUCCUUGGAACAGGACGUCAUAGAGGGUGAGAAUCCCGUAUGUGACAGGAAAUGGCACCCUAUGUAAAUCUCCUUCGACGAGUCGAGUUGUUUGGGAAUGCAGCUCUAAAUGGGAGGUAAAUUUCUUCUAAAGCUAAAUAUUGGCGAGAGACCGAUAGCGCACAAGUAGAGUGAUCGAAAGAUGAAAAGCACUUUGGAAAGAGAGUUAAAAAGCACGUGAAAUUGUUGAAAGGGAAGCGCUUGCAAUCAGACUUGUUUAAACUGUUCGGCCGGUCUUCUGACCGGUUUACUCAGUUUGGACAGGCCAGCAUCAGUUUCGGCGGCCGGAUAAAGGCUCUGGGAAUGUGGCCUCCACUUCGGUGGAGGUGUUAUAGCCCAGGGUGUAAUACGGCCAGCCGGGACUGAGGUCCGCGC